UCAACCUACCCUAUGGACGGGGAUAACCUCGGGAAACUGAGAAUAAUACCCGAUAGAACAUUAUACCUGGAAUGGUUUAUGUUUCAAAUAAUUUAUUGCCGUAGGAUGGGACUGCGGCCUAUCAGUUUGUUGGUGAGGUAAUGGCCCACCAAGACUAUUACAGGUACGGACUCUGAGAGGAGUAGCCCGGAGAUGGGUACUGAGACACGGACCCAGGCCCUAUGGGGCGCAGCAGGCGAGAAAACUUUGCAACGUGCGAAAGCACGACAGGGUUAAUCCGAGUGGUUUCUGCUAAAGGAACCUUUUGUCAGUCCUAGAAACACUGGUGAAUAAGGGGUGGGCAAGUUCUGGUGUCAGCCGCCGCGGUAAAACCAGCACCUCAAGUGGUCAGGAUGGUUAUUGGGCCUAAAGCAUCCGUAGCCUGCUUUGUCAGUUUUCGGUUAAAUCCAUACGCUCAACGUAUGGGCCGCCGGGAAUACUGCAAAGCUAGGGAGUGGGAGAGGUAGACGGUACUCGGUAGGAAGGGGUAAAAUCCUUUGAUCUAUUGAUGACCACCUGUGGCGAAGGCGGUCUACCAGAACAUGUCCGACGGUGAGGGAUGAAAGCUGGGGGAGCAAGCCGGAUUAGAUACCCGGGUAGUCCCAGCUGUAAACUAUGCAAACUCGGUGAUGCAUUGGCUUGAUGCCAAUGCAGUGCCGCAGGGAAGCCGUUAAGUUUGCCGCCUGGGAAGUACGUACGCAAGUAUGAAACUUAAAGGAAUUGGCGGGGGAGCACCACAAGGGGUGAAGCCUGCGGUUCAAUUGGAGUCAACGCCAGAAAUCUUACCCGGAGAGACAGCAGAAUGAAGGUCAAGCUGAAGACUUUACCAGACAAGCUGAGAAGUGGUGCAUGGCCGUCGCCAGCUCGUGCCGUGAGAUGUCCUGCUAAGUCAGGUAACGAGCGAGAUCCCUGCCUCUAGUUGCCACCAUUACUCUCAGGAGUAGUGGGGCGAAUUAGCGGGACCGCCGUAGUUAAUACGGAGGAAGGAAGGGGCCACGGCAGGUCAGUAUGCCCCGAAACUCUGGGGCCACACGCGGGCUGCAAUGGUAACGACAAUGUGUUCCGAAUCCGAAAGGAGGAGGUAAUCCAGAACGUUACCACAGUUAUGACUGAGGGCUGCACUCGCCCUCACGAAUAUGGAAUCCCUAGUACUGCGUGUCAU
This 1201-nucleotide ribosomal RNA is filed under the name uncultured archaeon. Its description in RNAcentral is "bacterial SSU rRNA". It matches the Rfam family "Archaeal small subunit ribosomal RNA", at positions 104 to 1308 of the family's 1478-position model. The record is from RNAcentral.